This 489-nucleotide ribosomal RNA is filed under the name uncultured bacterium. RNAcentral describes it as "partial 16S ribosomal RNA". It matches the Rfam family "Bacterial small subunit ribosomal RNA", at positions 28 to 507 of the family's 1533-position model. The record is from RNAcentral.
GACGAACGCUGGCGGCGUGCUUAACACAUGCAAGUCGAACGGAAAGGCCCUGCUGUUGUGGGGUGCUCGAGUGGCGAACGGGUGAGUAACACGUGAGUAACCUGCCCUUGACUUUGGGAUAACUUCAGGAAACUGGGGCUAAUAACGGAUAGGAGCUCCUGCUGCAUGGUGGGGGUUGGAAAGUUUCGGCGGGUGGGGAUGGACUCGCGGCUUAUUAGCUUGUUGGUGGGGUAGUGGCUUACCAAGGCGUUGACGGGUAGACGACCCGAGAGGGUGACCGGCCACACUGGGACGGAGACAGGGCCCAGAGGACUACAGGAGGCAGCAGGAGGGAAUCUUCGGCAAUGGACGAAAGGCGGACCGAACAACGCCGCGGGAGUGAAGAAGGACUUCGGAUCGGGAAGCUCUGUUGUAGGGGAAUAACGGGUGUGAGAGUGGAAAGUACACACUGUGACGGUAUCUUACCAGAAAGGAACGGCUAACUACGUG